RNAcentral lists this ribosomal RNA (381 nucleotides) under uncultured eukaryote. RNAcentral describes it as "partial 18S ribosomal RNA". It matches the Rfam family "Eukaryotic small subunit ribosomal RNA", at positions 592 to 976 of the family's 1831-position model. The record is from RNAcentral.
CAAUAGCGUAUAUUAAAGCUGUUGCGGUUAAAAAGCUCGUAGUUGGAUUUCUGUCAAGGACAACUGGUCCGCCCUCCGGGUGAGCACAUAGUUUGGUCUUGGCAUCUUGCUGGAAACUGUUGCUGCACUUGGUUGUGUGGCGCAGCAUCCAGCACUUUCACUUUGAGGAAAUUGGAGUGUUUCAAGCAGGCACAUGCCUUUGGACACAGUAGCAUGGAAUAAUUAGAUUGGGCUUUUGCUCCAAUUUGUCGGUUUCUGGAGCUGAGGUGAGAAUUAAUGGGGAUUGUUGGGGACAUCCGAAUUUAGCCGUCAGAGGUGAAAUUCUUGGAUCUGCUAAAGACGGACAACUGCGAAAGCGUUUGCCCAGGAUGUUUUCAUUGA